GGCCACUGCAGUAUUUUAGCCACACAGGAACACAUCCUUACAUCUACUAAGAAAAUACCUUCCUGUGCCUCUGACACAGACUUAGGGAAUAUCUCCUUUAAACAGCUAAAUGGAUCACAGAAUUUAAAGGCAUGUUUCGUCUGGUCCCUAUAAAGGGCAUUCCUGCCAGGAGGCCAAGAUCUCCCAGCAGCACCAUUGCUGCCAGGCUCCUGUUUCAGUGGCAUGGUGGAAUGGAGGCCCUGGAGGAUGCAAACUCAAAUAAACUUCCCUCAAGCAAACUGCCAUGAAGUCCCAGAAAAUUUGCCAGCUUCCUUGUCGCUCAGCCAGGUUUCUGGAGGAAAUGAGGAGUAACGAAACCUUGCUUGGAGAUCCCAGUCUAGAAGCCGGCCUCCCUUAGGGCCGGAGCUGCUCUCUGUGAACUGGGCAAUAGCCUGCUCUUAUAAAUCUGACUACAGGGAUCAGUUUCGUGAUCUGA
Long non-coding RNA from Passer domesticus (house sparrow), 475 nucleotides. RefSeq lists it as uncharacterized. The record is from RefSeq and is a predicted model, not a curated record. Lineage: Eukaryota; Metazoa; Chordata; Aves; Passeriformes; Passeridae. The transcript has 3 exons.